UUAGGUACGCAGGAGCUGAACCAUUUAGGGCCUUAUAGGUAAGUAAUGACAAUUUGUAACUGAUACGGAACUUAAUAGGUAGUCAGUGUUCUAUUUGUGAACGGAACAGUAUCGUUUUUUUGUUUGUGACUGUUAGCUGUAGCUAAAUACUCUGAUUUGUAUGAUGAGAACUUAGUUAUAACAGAAAUUAUUUGCUUUAUUUUCUAGAGUUGCUUCGUGUAAUUACACAGCCUAAUUUCGUGAACCUGACUCAGGACGAGGGUGAAAGUGAUGACUGUGCUGGUCCUAGCAAUUGUAGCAAUAGCAGAAACCCAUCACACAGCCCCUUUGAGAAAGAAAAGGACGGUUGUAUCAUUCCAACCAACAUAGAGAGCAAAUUCACACACAGAUAGCUCGGCAGAGUCUGUCAAAUCCGCUGACGAUGCUCAGCCCGAGAUAGAUCAAGAUGCUGUAUCCAAUGGUGUGGACAAUGCCGCUAACUGGACUGAUACUCAAAUAAAUGACUGGCAAAAUGCUGAUUGGUCGAGUGUACGCAGCGAGGAUUCGGCACAGACGGGUAGGCAGAGUCCGUGUCCGGGGAGGAGCCAAGAUUAAGGUCUGAGUUUCGAAGUAAUGAUGCUCGGAAUGAUUCUGUAAAUGAGAGAAUUGCAACUUUGUUCGAAGAGUUGAUUAAAAGACAGGACUCUUUGUACAAUGAGAUUCUUAAUAGACAGGAGGCCUUCUUCACUGAAAUAAAUAGCAACGUGGACGCCAGACUUCGUGAGCUUCAAAACAAUCUACAGCAGUCUAUAGAGAUUUGUCUGCAGCGGUUGCAAGAGCAAAUGUCAGAAAAUUACUCUUCGGUACAAGAGGUAUUACAAUCGAGGGCUAAGAGAGAGAACGCUGAUCGUAUAGUUGCUGUGUGCAAUUAAUGGACGUCUUCAACAUCGAUAGACAAUGAUUUUCUAUAUUAAUACUGAUCUGUUUAUGUGUGCUGUACCUACCUACACUCUGUUGUAUGCUAUAUACUUUUAAUGUAUCGCGAUUUAUUUUAUAUUAUCAUUUGUAUGUAAUCUUUUUGCUGGUAUUUAAUUGUACUCUUUUUUUCUUUUUUUUUAAGAGAUCAUUUUGAUUUGUAGUUUUUAAGUGACCAUCUUCAAAUGUAGCAUUCUCCUAUACUUGAUUUGUAGU
Long non-coding RNA from Carassius auratus (goldfish), 1170 nucleotides. RefSeq lists it as uncharacterized. NCBI's taxonomy places the organism in Eukaryota, Metazoa, Chordata, Actinopteri, Cypriniformes, Cyprinidae. The record is from RefSeq and is a predicted model, not a curated record. The transcript is spliced from 3 exons.